CCGAGAUGACCCACCAAUGAGUGUAGGCAGCCUAUAUCCUAAUAUGGAGCAAUUUAAGUUGGCACUUUCUCAACAUGCUAUCAAACAUGAGUUUGAGUAUGACACUAAAAAGAGUGAUCCAGGAAGAUUGAGGGCUUAUUGUUCAAGGAAGGAAGAAAAAGGGUGUAGGUGGAGGUUGCAUGCUUCUACAAUUAAGGGUGAAAAAACUGUAAAGGUGAAGAAGAACCCACCGUGACAUAUAUGUUCUAGUGCAAGAAGAAGCAAGGUUGUAAAGAAUACAACAAAAUUUUGGAACUGUGAACAGGUGAAGGAUUGACUAAUGGAGGAUUCAAGUUUGAAAGCUAAAGAAUUACAAAGGAGGAUAAAGGAUAGGCACAAGAUAGAGAUUCCCUACAAGAGAGUGUAUGCAGGUAAAGAAUUGGCACAUACAUAAUUAUUUGCUAGUUGGGACAAUAGUUUCAACAACCUUUACAGGUUUAAGGCUGAGAUGGAGAGGUGCUGUCGUGGAAGUUUUGUUGUCAUUGAUCAUCAUAAAGUUGAUGGGAAAAUCAGAUUUAAUAGGUUGUUUUUUGCUAUGAAACCAUGCAUAGAAGGCUUUCUCAAAGGAUGCACGCUUACUUGGCAAUAGAUAGCAUAUUUUUUACAGGAAUGUUCAGGGGGCAGCUGUCAUGUGCAGUAGCUGUAGAUGGACACAACUGGAUGUAUCCAAUUGCUGUUGGAGUGAUGGACUCAUAGACAAAUGAAAAUUGGAUCUGGUUUAUGCAAAAUCUUAGAGAUGCCAUUGGAUCACCUGAAGGCUUAGCUAUAUGUACACAUGCUGGACAAGGAGUGAUGAUGGGAGUUAAGGAAGUGUUCCUAGCUGCAGAACAUAGGGAAUGCAUGCUACAUUUGGUGAUGAACUUCAAGAAAAGAUAUACAGAAAAGAUAUUUGAGGACCUUCUUUUGGCAGCAGCAUAUUCAUGGUCUCCAUACUUCUUUGAGAAGCAUUGGAAUGCCAUGGAUGAAGAAAAUCCAGAAGCAAUGAAUUAUAUAAAGCAAUGUCAUACUAAGAUAUGGGCAAGAAGUCAAUUUUGGACCCAUUGCAAGGUUGACUAUGUCACAAACAACUUGGUAGAAUGCUUAAACAAUUGGGUAAAGAAGUACAAGGGUUUUAAUUUGGAUGACUUUAUAGACAUGAUUAGGCAACUUAUUAUGGAUAAGUGGCAUUUUAGAAGGGAUGUCUCAGCAAAGAAUGAAGGGGUCAUUUUGCCACACAUCAUAAAGGAGUUGAGGGAGCAAAGCAGGAACUUGGAUAUGGAUGUCCAUACAAGUGAAGAUAUUCUUGGAGAGGUGGGUGUUAAGGGUGGCAGUGGCUACAAAUGUAUUGUCAAUCUAGAAGAAAGAACUUGUUCGUGCAGGAAAUGACAAGUAUCAGGGAUUCCUUGCAAACAUGCCAUUGCAUUUAUCACAUAUCUUAGGGAACCUCUAAAGAAAUAUGUUGACAACUAUUAUUUAGUCGAUAAAUUCAAAGCUGCUUAUGAGUCUCUCAUUCCUGCCAUGCCUCACAAAGCACAAUGGCCACAAUCUGAUCACGGUUUUUUCAUGCAUCCACCACUCAUAAAAUCUACAGUGGGUAGAAGAUAGAACCAGAGGUUCAAAGGUUGUACAGAAGGCAGCACAACAAGAACGAAUGGGUCACAUCAGUGCAAAAUUUGCAAGAAAUAUGGCCAUCGCUGGUAUAAGUGCAAGGAAGGUGACCUUGAGGACAUAGUAGCUAUGCUAGCUGAAAAGGGUCCACCAAAGAAAACAAAGAAAAUCAUUGAGCCAUCUUGUGAGAGUAGCAUUGUACCUGUUGGUCUAACACCUAAGACAAUGAAUUUUCCUCCCGUAUUCUGUUUUUUUUCCAAAGGCAUAUGGCAUUUCAUUCAUUCCUAAUAUUACAUUUGUAUUACAGCUAAAGUACGUCGGUUAGCUUAGGAUUUAGAAACUCUCUCAGGUCCGGAAGUGGCUUAAACUAACUUGAGCUACUUCCUGCACGUGAGAAAACACCACCACCUGCCACCUCCAAGCCUAGGGAGAAGAAAGCUAAAGGGAAGGCAAAGGCAGCAGGGAAAAAAUUAAAAAAAGUUUCAGUGCCACAUGAUAGUCCUGCAAUGAGUACUAGGAGCAAGACCCCUCAACAAGACAGCCCUACCUCUCGUACCAAAGGCAAAAGAAAGCUUCCACUUACUGAUCUGAACUAGUGUUGAUGCAGUUUCUUUUGUGUGUCACUUCCUAUUUUGGUUGGUCUUUGUGACACCAAACCUAGUGUUCUUUUGCUAAGCUUAUUUCAACUAGUAGUUGCUGUUACUCAACCUAUAUAGCUGCUUGUAUGGAAGCAAUGGCUGAUUGCAAGGAUGCUUGUAUGGACAUCAAUGACUACUUGUAUGGCUGCUUGUAUGUACAGCAUUGUUGCUUGUAUGGACA
Molecule: long non-coding RNA, 2445 nt
Organism: Panicum hallii
Lineage: Eukaryota; Viridiplantae; Streptophyta; Magnoliopsida; Poales; Poaceae
Exons: 4
Source: RefSeq, a predicted model, not a curated record